This 460-nucleotide ribosomal RNA is filed under the name uncultured bacterium. RNAcentral describes it as "partial 16S ribosomal RNA". It matches the Rfam family "Bacterial small subunit ribosomal RNA", at positions 338 to 795 of the family's 1533-position model. The record is from RNAcentral.
CCUACGGGGGGCAGCAGUGAGGAAUAUUGGUCAAUGGGCGCGAGCCUGAACCAGCCAAGUAGCGUGAAGGAUGACUGCCCUACGGGUUGUAAACUUCUUUUAUAAAGGAAUAAAGUGAGGCACGUGUGCCUGUUUGUAUGUACUUUAUGAAUAAGGAUCGGCUAACUCCGUGCCAGCAGCCGCGGUAAUACGGGGGAUCCGAGCGUUAUCCGGAGUUAUUGGGUUUAAGGGGAGCGUAGAUGGGUUGUUAAGUAAGUUGGGAAAGUUUGCGGCUCAACAGUAAUGUUGCAAUUGAUACUGGCAGCCUUGAGUACAGUUGAGGUAGGCGGAAUUCGUAGUGUAGCGGUGGAAUGCUUAGAUAUCACGAAGAACUCCGAUUGCGAAGGCAGCUUACUAAACUGCCACUGACAUUGAUGCUCGAAAGCGUGGGGAGCAAACAGGAUUAGAUACCCUUGUAGUC